This 149-nucleotide small nucleolar RNA is filed under the name Carlito syrichta (Philippine tarsier). RNAcentral describes it as "Small nucleolar RNA SNORA57 (ENSTSYG00000033868.1)". It matches the Rfam family "Small nucleolar RNA SNORA57". Rfam says of the family: U99 belongs to the H/ACA class of snoRNAs which are thought to guide the sites of modification of uridines to pseudouridines, the target for this family is unknown. The record is from Rfam by way of RNAcentral. Lineage: Eukaryota; Metazoa; Chordata; Mammalia; Primates; Tarsiidae.
CCUCCUUUUCUUGGCGGGGGCCGGGUGUGUAGUCCCGCUCCCUGUUAUGUACGGAGGCAGAGGGAAAGGGCUCCGGCUCCCUCGGCGUCAUGUUUUCGGUGCCGGCGGCUUCUUGUCCACUGGUUCUAUCCUCAAGCACCGAGACACCU